RNAcentral lists this ribosomal RNA (468 nucleotides) under uncultured bacterium. Its description in RNAcentral is "partial 16S ribosomal RNA". It matches the Rfam family "Bacterial small subunit ribosomal RNA", at positions 28 to 507 of the family's 1533-position model. The record is from RNAcentral.
GACGAACGCUGGCGGCGUGCUUAACACAUGCAAGUCGAACGGAAAGGCCCUGCUUUUGUGGGGUGCUCGAGUGGCGAACGGGUGAGUAACACGUGAGUAACCUGCCCUUGACUUUGGGAUAACUUCAGGAAACUGGGGCUAAUACCGGAUAGGAUCUCCUGCUGCAUGGUGGGGGUUGGAAAGUUUCGGCGGUUGGGGAUGGACUCGCGGCUUAUCAGCUUGUUGGUGGGGUAGUGGCUUACCAAGGUUUUGACGGGUAGCCGGCCUGAGAGGGUGACCGGCCACAUUGGGACUACGAGACGGCCCAGACUCCUACGGGAGGCAGCAGUGGGGAAUAUUGCACAAUGGGCGGAAGCCUGAUGCAGCAACGCCGCGUGCGGGAUGACGGCCUUCGGGUUGUAAACCGCUUUCGCCUGUGACGAAGCGUGAGUGACGGUAAUGGGUAAAGAAGCACCGGCUAACUACGUG